RNAcentral lists this ribosomal RNA (839 nucleotides) under Bifidobacterium boum. Its description in RNAcentral is "bacterial SSU rRNA". It matches the Rfam family "Bacterial small subunit ribosomal RNA", at positions 38 to 883 of the family's 1533-position model. The record is from RNAcentral. Lineage: Bacteria; Bacillati; Actinomycetota; Actinomycetes; Bifidobacteriales; Bifidobacteriaceae.
UACUGCGCUGCUUACACAUGCAAGUCGAACGGGUUCCUGCGGGCUUUGCUUGCGGGUGAGAGUGGCGAACGGGUGAGUAAUGCGUGACCAACCUGCCCCAUGCUCCGGAAUAGCUCCUGGAAACGGGUGGUAAUGCCGGAUGCUCCCGCGCCCCGCAUGGGGUGUGGGGAAAGCUUUCGUGGCAUGGGAUGGGGUCGCGUCCUAUCAGCUUGUUGGCGGGGUGAGGGCCCACCAAGGCGUUGACGGGUAGCCGGCCUGAGAGGGCGACCGGCCACAUUGGGACUGAGAUACGGCCCAGACUCCUACGGGAGGCAGCAGUGGGGAAUAUUGCACAAUGGGCGCAAGCCUGAUGCAGCGACGCCGCGUGCGGGAUGGAGGCCUUCGGGUUGUAAACCGCUUUUGUUUGGGAGCAAGCCCUUCGGGGUGAGUGUACCUUUCGAAUAAGCACCGGCUAACUACGUGCCAGCAGCCGCGGUAAUACGUAGGGUGCGAGCGUUAUCCGGAAUUAUUGGGCGUAAAGGGCUCGUAGGCGGUUCGUCGCGUCCGGUGUGAAAGUCCAUCGCUUAACGGUGGAUCCGCGUCGGGUACGGGCGGGCUGGAGUGCGGUAGGGGAGACUGGAAUUCCCGGUGUAACGGUGGAAUGUGUAGAUAUCGGGAAGAACACCAAUGGCGAAGGCAGGUCUCUGGGCCGUUACUGACGCUGAGGAGCGAAAGCGUGGGGAGCGAACAGGAUUAGAUACCCUGGUAGUCCACGCCGUAAACGGUGGAUGCUGGAUGUGGGGCCCUUCCACGGGUCCCGUGUCGGAGCCAACGCGUUAAGCAUCCCGCCUGGGGAGUAC